AGAAAGGUAAGCUAAACUAAAGCUAACAGGUUCAUACCCUGGUUAUAGAGAAAACUCUCCUCUCUA
Molecule: transfer RNA, 66 nt
Filed under: Erthesina fullo
Lineage: Eukaryota; Metazoa; Arthropoda; Insecta; Hemiptera; Pentatomidae
Description: tRNA-Met
Source: RNAcentral